RNAcentral lists this ribosomal RNA (827 nucleotides) under uncultured marine bacterium. RNAcentral's name for it is "bacterial SSU rRNA". It matches the Rfam family "Bacterial small subunit ribosomal RNA", at positions 54 to 930 of the family's 1533-position model. The record is from RNAcentral.
CAUGCAAGUCGAACGAAGUAGCAAUACUUAGUGGCAGACGGGUGAGUAACAUGUAGGUAUCUGCCCUUUGGCCUGGAAUAACACGAGGAAACUUGUGCUAAUACCGGAUAAGUCUUUACGGAGAAAGCUUUAUGCACCAUUGGAUGAGCCUGCAUUUGAUUAGUUUGUUGGUGGGGUAAUGGCCUACCAAGACUGUGAUCAAUACCUGAUUUGAGAGGAUGAUCAGCCACAUUGGGACUGAGACACGGCCCAAACUCCUACGGGAGGCAGCAGUGGGGAAUCUUGCACAAUGGAGGAAACUCUGAUGCAGCGAUGCCGCGUGAGUGAAGAAGGCCUUUGGGUUGUAAAGCUCUUUCGUCGGGGAAGAAAAUGACUGUACCCGAAUAAGAAGGUCCGGCUAACUUCGUGCCAGCAGCCGCGGUAAUACGAAGGGACCUAGCGUAGUUCGGAAUUACUGGGCUUAAAGAGUUCGUAGGUGGUUGAAAAAGUUGGUGGUGAAAUCCCAGAGCUUAACUCUGGAACUGCCAUCAAAACUUUUCAGCUAGAGUAUGAUAGAGGAAAGCAGAAUUUCUAGUGUAGAGGUGAAAUUCGUAGAUAUUAGAAAGAAUACCAAUUGCGAAGGCAGCUUUCUGGAUCAUAACUGACACUGAGGAACGGAAGCAUGGGUAGCGAAGAGGAUUAGAUACCCUCGUAGUCCAUGCCGUAAACGAUGUGUGUUAGACGUUGGAAAUUAAUUUUCAGUGUCGCAGCGAAAGCGAUAAACACACCGCCUGGGGAGUACGACCGCAAGGUUAAACUCAAAUGAAUUGACGGGGACCCGCACAGUA